UUUCUGUGAUUAGAUUUGUC
This 20-nucleotide small nuclear RNA is filed under the name Arabidopsis thaliana (thale cress). Its description in RNAcentral is "snRNA_02909". Lineage: Eukaryota; Viridiplantae; Streptophyta; Magnoliopsida; Brassicales; Brassicaceae. The record is from RNAcentral.